Amaranthus tricolor (Joseph's coat) is the source of this 779-nucleotide long non-coding RNA. RefSeq lists it as uncharacterized. The record is from RefSeq and is a predicted model, not a curated record. The transcript has 3 exons. Lineage: Eukaryota; Viridiplantae; Streptophyta; Magnoliopsida; Caryophyllales; Amaranthaceae.
UCUUCUUUAUCUUCCCUUCCUCAACACCAAGAAUCAUCCACCACCACCACCACCAGCUUCCAGCAGCCGCCGCCACCAGCUUCCAUCGCCGGCCACCAGUAGCCGCCACCGCCGGUGGUCCCCCUCUCAAGUUGGUUGAAGUUCUUUGCCUUACCCAUCAUCCUCUCAAGUCUUUGUGAGCAAUUUCUAACCGAAUUUGAUUUUGUGCCCAAUUCAUAAGAGAAGCUUGAGAAUCCCAUAUUUGGCGGUUGUGGUAACCUUUUGUCUUGCAGCAGGAUCGUCCUAGAUAAGAGUAACAGGUAUUGGAGCUUCUUCUGCAUUGCAUUGGGGGAGAGUGAUGAGUGUGAAGCAUAACACGAGUUAUGCAUUGGUCUUUUGACUUCAUAGCUCUUUUAUGUCUUUUGUAAAUUUUAGGUUGUAUAUGCUUUUGGUAUGAGGCAUUGUGUCCAGCGUUGUAUUUUCAUAAUUCCGCUACGUAGUUAUGGUCUUGUAUGUUUUUGAAGUGUUUUAUUUUUUUAAAAACUCAAGCGUUAACACUGAGACCACGAUCCAUGCUUGUCAUGAUGAUUUGGGGAGCUGAUGAUGAAUCAUUCUGUUGUAAUAAGAGAUUUUAAAGGCGAUGAUGCCUUGAAUGAGUUUAGUUAUUUUAUUGUGCUUUAUAUUCCGUCACACCCUCGAUUUUUAGUGAAAAUGCUGCCGAAAAUUGUACUCACAUUUUUAAAAUUUAUUAUUAUUUUACAGAUUUAGUUAUGUAUAUACUCAAUGUAAGUAGUUAAACA